This 127-nucleotide small RNA is filed under the name Marmota monax (woodchuck). The record is from RNAcentral. Lineage: Eukaryota; Metazoa; Chordata; Mammalia; Rodentia; Sciuridae.
GCCGGGUGCAAUGACAUACACCUGUAAUCCCAGUGACUCAGGAGGCUGAGGCAGAAGGAUCACAAGUUUGAAGCCAGUCUCAGCAAUUCAGUAAGACCCUCAGCAACUUAGUGAGACCCUGUUUCAA